UACAGAGGUCCCAAGCGUUGUUCGGAUUCACUGGGCCUAAAGGGUGCGUAGGCGGUCGGGUAAGUCUGACGUGAAAUCUUCAAGCUCAACUUGGAAACUGCGUCGGAUACUAUUCGGCUAGAGGAAUGGAGGGGAGACUGGAAUACUUGGUGUAGCAGUGAAAUGCGUAGAUAUCAAGUGGAACACCAGUGGCGAAGGCGAGUCUCUGGACAUUUCCUGACGCUGAGGCACGAAAGCCAGGGGAGCAAACGGG
Molecule: ribosomal RNA, 253 nt
Filed under: uncultured bacterium
Lineage: Bacteria
Description: partial 16S ribosomal RNA
Rfam family: Bacterial small subunit ribosomal RNA
Source: RNAcentral